This 774-nucleotide ribosomal RNA is filed under the name uncultured Neocallimastigales. RNAcentral describes it as "partial large subunit ribosomal RNA". It matches the Rfam family "Eukaryotic large subunit ribosomal RNA", at positions 23 to 616 of the family's 3401-position model. Lineage: Eukaryota; Fungi; Neocallimastigomycota; Neocallimastigomycetes; Neocallimastigales. The record is from RNAcentral.
AGAGAGAGACAUGCGCGCAUAUCAAUAAGCGGAGGAAAAGAAACUAACAAGGAUUCCCCUAGUAACGGCGAGUGAAGCGGGAAGAGCUCAAAUUUGAAAUCUUAAAGGGUUUCCCUUUACGAAUUGUAGUUUAAAGAAGUGUUUUCUGUUGAGGUUUUGGUAAAAGUUCUUUGGAAUAGGACAUCAUAGAGGGUGAGAAUCCCGUAUUUGACCUUUACUUUCAACUUUGUGAUACACUUUCAAAGAGUCGGAUUGUUUGGGAAUGCAGUCCAAAAUGGGUGGUAAAUUUCAUCUAAAGCUAAAUAUUGGCGAGAGACCGAUAGCGAACAAGUACCGUGAGGGAAAGAUGAAAAGAACUUUGAAAAGAGAGUUAAACAGUACGUGAAAUUGUCAAAAGGGAAGCGUUUGACACCAGUGUUGUUUUUCUGAAAAUCAAUUAAAGAACUGUUUAUGCUAAGUUGUUUAGACUUUAUCAGCUAACUGUUUAGUUUUGAGCUUUUCUUUAAUGCACUUUUCAGUUAACAAGUCUACAUCAAUUUCUUUUGCUGUAAAAAAGCUUGAGGAAGGUGGCUUGAGAUUCGUCUUAAGUGUUUAUAGCCUCUUGCCUAUGCAGUCGGAGAGAUUGAGGUCUGCAGCGUAGAUCCUUCGGGGCUAAAUGCAUUUGUGCUAAGUUAUAGCAUUUUAUAGACAACUUGUUGACUAUGAUUUGUCUUGUAGCUUACUCGCUUAUGUUAUUUUACCUACGCUUAGGAUGUUGAGCGCAUGUCUCUCUCU